Small nucleolar RNA from Tachyglossus aculeatus (Australian echidna), 138 nucleotides. The record is from RefSeq and is a predicted model, not a curated record. Lineage: Eukaryota; Metazoa; Chordata; Mammalia; Monotremata; Tachyglossidae.
CUCCUCUCAGAGUUGCACCUAGAGAGUUUCUAGUACUCUACUUGUUUCGGCUAUGGGAGGGAGAGUCAAGCAGAGGCCUAUCCUUUUCAUUCCUAGCUUGGCUAGUGGCUAGCGAGUGGAAGGCAAUCUGCUAUAAGU